This 875-nucleotide ribosomal RNA is filed under the name uncultured bacterium. RNAcentral's name for it is "bacterial SSU rRNA". It matches the Rfam family "Bacterial small subunit ribosomal RNA", at positions 615 to 1502 of the family's 1533-position model. The record is from RNAcentral.
GUAGCACUGCAGUUGAAACNNNNNGGCUUGAGUGCAGUUGAGGCAGGCGGAAUUCGUGGUGUAGCGGUGAAAUGCUUAGAUAUCACGAAGAACUCCGAUUGCGAAGGCAGUGCACCAAGCUGUAACUGACAUUGAUGCUCGAAAGUGUGGGUAUCAAACAGGAUUAGAUACCCUGGUAGUCCACACGGUAAACGAUGAAUACUCGCUGUUGGCGAUAUAUUGUCAGCGGCCAAGCGAAAGCAUUAAGUAUUCCACCUGGGGAGUACGCCGGCAACGGUGAAACUCAAAGGAAUUGACGGGGGCCCGCACAAGCGGAGGAACAUGUGGUUUAAUUCGAUGAUACGCGAGGAACCUUACCCGGGCUUGAACUGCAACCGAAUGUCGCGGAAACGCGUCAGCUAGCAAUAGCGGUUGUGGAGGUGCUGCAUGGUUGUCGUCAGCUCGUGCCGUGAGGUGUCGGCUUAAGUGCCAUAACGAGCGCAACCCUUGCCGGCAGUUGCCAUCAGGUAAAGCUGGGGACUCUGCCGGGACUGCCAUCGUAAGAUGCGAGGAAGGUGGGGAUGACGUCAAAUCAGCACGGCCCUUACGUCCGGGGCUACACACGUGUUACAAUGGGGGGUACAGAAGGCCGCUACCUGGCGACAGGAUGCCAAUCCCGAAAACCCCUCCCAGUUCGGACUGGAGCCUGCAACCCGGCUCCACGAAGCUGGAUUCGCUAGUAAUCGCGCAUCAGCCAUGGCGCGGUGAAUACGUUCCCGGGCCUUGUACACACCGCCCGUCAAGCCAUGGGAGCCGGGNNNACCUGAAGUACGUAACCGCGAGGGUCGUCCUAGGGUAAAACCGGUGACUGGGGCUAAGUCGUAACAAGGUAACCA